GCCCGUUCCUCGCCCGCGCACGCGCCGCUCCGCCUCCUGAUUGGAUUGGCCCCCCCGGCGCCCCGGAUUGGCCCAGGCCGUCCAACAGCCGCCCUGCCCAGAGGAGGCCAUUGGUCCUUGCCCAUAGGGGCGGGGCACGGCGGAGACAAGCGGAAUUCGGCCUUCGGAAAGAGUCCCCGGGCCGGGGCACGGAGAGAGCCGAGCGCCGCAGCCAUGAGCCGAAUAGAGCCGGAGAGACCCGAGUAUGACCGGAGAAGCCCAGGCCGGCCGGAAGAGGAGCCGAGCGCGGCCGGAAGGAACCGAGCCCGUCCGAAGGGAGCAGAGCGCAGCUGGGCUUGCGGCCCGGUCCAUCCCGCGCCAUGGCGGCCGAGGGGACAGCUGUGGCCGGAGGCGGGGCUGUUGGCGGCUGCCCGGCCAAAGACGGCUUGCAGCAGUCUAAGUGCCCGGACACUACCCCAAAACGGCGGCGCGCCUCGUCGCUGUCGCGUGACGCCGAGCGCCGAGCCUACCAGUGGUGCCGGGAGUACUUGGGCGGGGCCUGGCGCCGAGUGCAGCCCGAGGAGCUGAGGGUUUACCCCGUGAGCGGAGGCCUCAGCAACCUGCUCUUCCGCUGCUCGCUCCCGGACCACCUGCCCAGCGUUGGCGAGGAGCCCCGGGAGGUGCUGCUGCGGCUGUACGGAGCCAUCCUGCAGCGCUUUGCGAGGCUGAGGCGAGAGGAUCACUUGAGCACAGGAGUUCGAGACCAGCCUGAACAACAUAGUGAGACCCCAUCUCUCAAUAAAAACAGACCAACGCUAGAGCCGUGCUCCAGAGCCUCCAGGCAACUGGACCAGAAGCCCCAGCUCUGGUGGGAGGAAAGCAAGCCCUCGUGGCUGUCCCUGUGCCACUUUGUCUUGGCCCUUUUGUUAUCCAUCCUUUCUCAGGGCGUGGACUCCCUGGUGCUGGAAAGCGUGAUGUUCGCCAUCCUUGCGGAGCGGUCGCUGGGGCCCCAGCUGUAUGGAGUCUUCCCAGAGGGCCGGCUGGAACAGUACAUCCCACCCCAUCACCACCCUGAUAGCUUCCUGGUGCAGAGCCGGCCAUUGAAAACUCAAGAGCUUCGAGAGCCAGUGUUGUCAGCAGCCAUUGCCACGAAGAUGGCGCAAUUCCAUGGCAUGGAGAUGCCUUUCACCAAGGAGCCCCACUGGUUGUUUGGGACCAUGGAGCGGUACCUAAAACAGAUCCAGGACCUGCCCCCAACUGGCCUCCCUGAGAUGAACCUCCUGGAGAUGUACAGCCUGAAGGAUGAGAUGGGCAACCUCAGGAAGUUACUAGAGUCUACCCCAUCGCCAGUCGUCUUCUGCCACAAUGACAUCCAGGAAGGGAACAUCUUGCUGCUCUCAGAGCCAGAAAAUGCUGACAGCCUCAUGCUGGUGGACUUCGAGUACAGCAGUUAUAACUAUAGGGGCUUUGACAUUGGGAACCAUUUUUGUGAGUGGGUUUAUGAUUAUACUCACGAGGAAUGGCCUUUCUACAAAGCAAGGCCCACAGACUACCCCACUCAAGGAGAGCAGCUGCAUUUUAUUCGCCAUUACCUGGCAGAGGCAAAGAAAGGUGAGACCCUCUCCCAAGAGGAGCAGAGAAAACUGGAAGAAGAUUUGCUGGUAGAAGUCAGUCGGUAUGCUCUGGCGUCCCAUUUCUUCUGGGGUCUGUGGUCCAUCCUCCAGGCAUCCAUGUCCACCAUAGAAUUUGGUUACUUGGACUAUGCCCAGUCUCGGUUCCAGUUCUACUUCCAGCAGAAGGGGCAGCUGACCAGUGUCCACUCCUCAUCCUGACUCUCCACCCUCCCACUCCUUGGAUUUCUCCUGGAGCCUCCAGGGCGGGACUUUGGAGGGAGGAGCAACGAGCAGAAGGCCGUGGGGACUGGGCUCAGCCCCCAAGUGAAACUGAGGUUCAGGAGACCGACCUCUCCCUGAGUUUGAGUGCCGACCAACCCCCAGGAUGGCGGAAGCGCACCAGGCCGUGGCCUUCCAGUUCACGGUGACCCCAGACGGGGUCGACUUCCGGCUCAGUCGGGAGGCCCUGAAACACGUCUACCUGUCUGGGAUCAACUCCUGGAAGAAACGCCUGAUCCGCAUCAAGAAUGGCAUCCUCAGGGGCGUGUACCCUGGCAGCCCCACCAGCUGGCUGGUCGUCGUCAUGGCAACAAUGGGUUCCUCCUUCUGCAACGUGGACGUCUCCUUGGGGCUGAUCGGUUGCAU
Molecule: RNA transcript, 2237 nt
Organism: Piliocolobus tephrosceles (Ugandan red Colobus)
Lineage: Eukaryota; Metazoa; Chordata; Mammalia; Primates; Cercopithecidae
Gene: CHKB
Gene name: choline kinase beta
Exons: 13
Source: RefSeq, a predicted model, not a curated record